Molecule: long non-coding RNA, 6351 nt
Filed under: Homo sapiens (human)
Lineage: Eukaryota; Metazoa; Chordata; Mammalia; Primates; Hominidae
Description: HSALNT0114793
Source: RNAcentral
AUAGAAACCUAAGAAAAAUGAGAAGUUGAUCAUUCAAACAGAAGAUAUUGAGAAAACACACACAUACACAGCAAUGAACUCUGCAGGGCACACAUGUGCAUAAGUAUAUGCCUAGGAAUGUAAAUGUAUGUCUUCAACUUUGGAGGAUAAUGGCAGUUCUCCGGUUGGAUACACGGAUUUAUACCACUACGUGUAGUGCAUGUCAGCUCUAAUGGCUCCACAUCUUUGUCAACAAUUGGUAUUGUCAGCACUUUUUAAUUUUAGCCAAUCUAGAAAGUAUGAAGAAAACACUGAUUUGUGGCUUAAAUUACCAUUUCUUUGAUGACUAAUGAGGUUGAUCAUAUUUACAUGUUUGUGGGCAAUGGGGAUAGCCUCUUUUGUAAAGUAUCUUUUCACAACUUGUUCUCUCAUUCUAUUUUGUUGUAUGUAUUUUCUUACUGAGUUUUACAAGUUAUUUAUAUAUUCCAAAUCUGAGCUUUUUGUUUUUGUAUGUGUUGCAGAUAGAUUUCCCUAGUCUGUUAACUUGGCUUCUAUUUUCUUGUCAGCUUUUUUUGAGGGAGAAAUGUCUAAGUUGUAUUGUCUAAUUUUGCAUAUUUCCUUUAUAGUUUAUGGUUUUUGUGACUGUUUUAAAUGUUCUAACUUAUCUUAAAAUCAUAAAUAUAUCCUCCUAUGUCAUGUUCUAUAACAGCACUCUGUUACUAAUUUCUGCAAUAAUAGACAUAUUUUAUAUCUGUGCUAACCUACAUCGUAGCCACUAGAUACAUGUUGCUACUGAGCACUUAAAGUAUGGCUAGUGUGACUGAGGAAAUACUUUAACAUUUUUAUUUGAUUUUAAUUAAUUUAAAUUUACAUUGCUAUAUGUGGCAAUUGCUAGUGGCAAUUUAAAUUAAUUUAAAUCACUAGAGGCCAACAUAUUGGAUAAAAAUCAUUCAAUUAUGUUCUCAGACCACAAUAUAAUUAAACUAGAAAUCAGUAACAGAAAGAUAGCUGGGAAAUUCCAAAAUAUUUGGAAAGUAGCACACUUCCAAAUUAUCCAGGGUCAAAAAAGUAUCAAGAUAAAUUUAAAAUUUUUUGAACCAAAUAGAAGAAAAAAUAAAAUGUAUCAAAAUUUGUGUGAUACAGUGAUAGCAGUGCUUAGAUUAACAUGUUUAGCAUUAAAUUCAUGUGUUCAAAAAGAAGAAAAAUCUAAAACUUCACCCUCCGCCUUAAGAAACUAGAGUAAGAAAAGCCAAUUAGGCCUGGCUGAAAUAGGUCAGAUCCUUAAAAGAGACUGCUGAAACUCCCACAAGGAGAACUAGAUAAACUGAAUAUCCAUUUAUUUAUUAUAGAAAUUUGAUCACUAUUUAAUAAACUUACAAAAAAAUAAAGCACCAGACUCAAAUGAUUUCACUGGUAAAUUCACUAAACAUUUAAAGAAAAAAUAAUACCAAGUUUCCACAAUUUCUUCAAGAAAAUGGAAGCCGUGAAAACACUGUCUAUAUUAUUCUAUAAGGCCAGCAUUACCCUAAUAUCAGUUCCAGAGAAAGACCUUGCAAGAAACAAAAACUACAUUCCAAUACCUCUCAUGAACAUAGACACAAGAAUCCUUACCAAAAUAUUAACAAAUUGAACCCAACAAGUAUAACAGGAAUUAUACACCAUGGCUGAGUGGGAUUUAUUUCAGGUACUCAAGGCUCAUUCAAAAUUUAAAAAUCAAUCAGUGUAAUUCAUCACAUCAAAACACUAAAUAAGAAAAAUCAUAUGAUAUAUCAAUUGAUACAGAAAAAGUGUUUAACAAAAUUUAGAAUCCAUGCAUGAUAAAAGCUCUCAGAGAAUUAGGAAUAAAAGGAAACUCUCAACCUGAUAAAGAACAUCUGUAAAUCUACAGCCAGCAUCUUAAUUGUAAGAAACUGGACAUAAGGCAAGAUUGUCCUCUUGUAUUAAAAAGUUUAUUCAAAGUCCUAGAUAGUGCAAUAAAACAUAAAAAAGAAAAAUUAUGGAGAUUAUUAAAAAAGAAAAGGAUCAUAUUCACAGAUGACAUAAUUUUCUAUGUAGAAUGCUCCAAAAUACCUAUUUAAAAACUCCUAGAACUAAUACAUACACACACACAGUAAUACACUUAGUAUAUACUAAUAUAUACUAUAACCUGCUCUCAAUACACAAGGUCAACAUGAAAAAAUCAAUUGCUUUUCUAUAUCUCAGCAAUAAACAAUGGGAAUUUAAAUUCUAAAAAGCAAUAUCAUUUACAAUAACACUAACAAAUUUUAAAGGUGGGGUGUAAAUCUAACAAAAUAUAUACAGAAUCUUUAUGUAGAAUAUUACAAAACACUGAUGAGGAAAUAAAGGAAGAUCUAAACAAAGGGAAUGAUAUUCUUGGUUUAUCGAUUGGAAGACUCGAUAUUGUUAAACUGUCUGUUCUAAUAUAUAGACUCAAUGCAAUCCCAAUGAAAAUUCCAGCAAUAUAUGUUUUUAGAUAUUGAUGAACAGGUCCUACAAUUUAUAUGGAAAAACAAAAGACUCAAAAUAGCCAACACAAUAUGAAAGAAAGAAAGUCAGAGGGCUGACACUACAUAACUUCAAUAUUUAUUGUAAAGCUACAGUAAUCAAGAUAGCAUGGUAUUAGCAAAAGAACAAGUAUAUGGAUGAGAAAAGAGAAUAGAGAGUCCAUUAAUAGACCCACACAAACAUAAAAAAGAAUCUUUGAUAAAAGAGUAAAGGCUAUUAAACUGAGCAAAAAUAGUCUUUUACACAAAUGGUACUAGAACAAUUGGACAUCCAUGCAAAACGUGAACUUACACACAGACAUUAUGCCUUUCACAAGAAUCUCAAAAUAAAUCAUCGACAUAAAUAAAAAUACAGAAAUUAUAAAACUUAUUGAAGAAAACAUAGGGUAAGAUCUAGAUGAUUUUGGAUUUAAGAAUGAAUAUUUAAAUACAACAAGAGUAGCAAAAUCAUGAAAAAUGAAUAGGUUGAACUUUAUAUAUUAAAAUCUGUUCUACAAAAGACAUUGUUAAAAGAAUGAAAAGAUAAGACACAGAUUGGAAAAAAUACUUGCAACACAGCUAUAUAAUAAAGGAAUUAUAUCCGAAAUAUGCAAUAUACAAAAAAACCUUAAAAGCCAACAAGAAAACAAAAAACAAAAUAAAAAUGAGUAGAAGAUCUGAACAGACACCUCGCCAAAGAAUAUAUGUCAUACAAGUGACAUACAUUGACAUACAAGUGAAUAUAUGUCAUACAAGUGACCAAAUAAGCCUAUGAAAAGCUGCUCAUUUCCAUUUUUUGUUAGGGAAAUAUAAAUUAAAACAACAUUCCAUUAAAAAGUCAAAAUGAUAAAGUAAACAGAUCAAUGGCGGCUAGGGAUUCUGAGGUGUAGUAGUAAAUAGAUGAAGCACACAGGAUUUUUUAGAGUGGUGAAACUGUUGGGUAUGAUACAUACUGGCAGAUACAUGAUUCUCUACAUUUCUGAAAACCAUAGAACUUUACAGCAUGAAGAGUGGAGCUUAAUGUUUGCAAAUUAAACAAACAUUUAGGAGAUAAGAGGAUCCUAGGAUGAGAUGCAGGCUAUGAUUUUUUUAAAAAACAACUGUAUUACAAAUGUAUGAAAUAAUCUUGCUAAAGAGGAUGGAGAAAAGAUAAUUGGUUAGUAUAUUUAGAAAUAAGUAGAGUCUAUAAUACUGAAGAUAAAAGGAACCUUACAUAAGCUCUGUAUUCUAGUUGAUAAACUUGUUUCCCACAGGGAUAUGGGUCAAUAAUUCUGAAAUUACUAUACCUGUACAUUGGAAUUGCACAAUUAAGUAAACAGCUGGCUGAUGACAGAAGCCAGGUUUCUCACUGUUGGAGUGACAGGUUACACAUAAACAGGUGGGGAAUGCCAGAAGGAUCCAUGUGAUCAUUGAUCAGAAUGGGAGACAAGAGUAUGAACUCAUGUUUAGCUUAAAAUAAAUACUCUUAGAUACAUACAGAAAAAUUUAUAAAUAUGCACGUAUACAUGAGUUAGUACACACACAUACUUCCUUGUUCUUUCAGCUGAGAUGGUCUUGAGCAACGGGACAGUACCAGUGAACACACCUAGCUCAAAGAUAUCAGUUUUUUAUUCCAUUCUCCAAUGAAAGGAUGCCAGACUUGUUGCACAAAUGACCAAUUUGGGUCUGUGGCAUGAAAUAAUGAUCUUGCAGCAUCUUGUAGUGCCAGAAAGUGAGAAAAAACUCAAAUAUAAAACCCACAAAACCCACAGUGACAGGAAAAUAUCAAAGAGACAUUGGAGCCAACUGAAAGAGCUUCCAAUGGCGAAAGCUGGAACAAUAUGAGCAACAAAAUAAAGUUAUAUUGGGGUGUAAGCUGAAGCAGAAAAGAAGUAUCAAUGAGUUCAUACUAGCAUCAGUAAAUGUUUGGAUAUAUAAAUGAAUAGGGGAGGAGAUCUAAAUCUACUAUGCAGAAUUCAAAACAUCUUGUGAGAGAUUAUCUUUCAUAGAGAGAGAGUAUUAACCCAGCUACUUAAAUAUUGGCUGCGGACAGUAUUCUAAAGAAAACAAUAUGGAAAAGGGGAAAACAAGUGACUUUACAGUGCAGAAAUCUGACAAACAUUACCUUAGUCAAGCAAUCAAGAUUAACAUCAAUAAUGACAAGUCAUAUUGAUGGCAUGUACCUUUCAUGUAAUUCAUGGAGAAUGGCACUUUACCUGUGUGGUCUUUCUCCCCAAACCUCGAAGUUCUAGUAUAAUUUGGAGGAAAGCAUCGGAUCAUCCCCACUGAGGCACAUUCUACAGAAUACCUAGCCUGUACUCUGAGAACUGCUGCAACCAAAAAGAACCUAAGGAGACAUGUUGGCUAAGAGUAAUGAUUAUCCUGAAUGGGACACUGGAACAGUAAAAGGUCAGUAGAUCAAAACUAAGGAAAUCUGAAUAAAGCAUAGACUUUCGUUAAUGGUAUAAAUAUCAGUUCAUUAAUUAUAACAAAUUUUCCAUACUAAUUUAAGAUGUCAACAACAGGGGAAACUAGAUGUUAAGUACAUAGGAACUCUCUGUACUAUCCUUGCAACUUUUCUGUAAACCUAACACAAUUUUAAAAUGAUAAUUUGAUUAAAAUAAAUUAAUGGUGAUAUGUUGAAAUUUUUACCUCUAAAACUAGCAUCUCCAGUGUCUCCAUUUUUAUUCAAAAUUAUAUUAGUAGCCCUAGCCAGUGAAAUAAGUUAUGAGAAAGGAAUAAAAUAAGGAUAGAAAAGUUUUUUUUAAAAUAAUGUAUACAUAGAAAAUGUAAUUCUAUAAAUAAACCUUUAGAAUUAUCAGCGUCAUUGAAUCAAUUCAUUAUACACAAAUUAAUUUAAUUUUAAUUUUACAUACCAGCUACAGAAAUUUUAAGACGUCUCAAAAUUAUUGAAAUAUAAUAAGACCUACAUAAAUGAUAGAUAUACCAUGUCAAUAUUUUUGAAGACUUGAUGUUGUAUAAUUUCCAAUUCUUCUCAAAGUGAUCUAUAGAUUCAAUGUAAUGACAACAAAAGUCCCAGCAGGUGUGUUUCUGAAAAUUGAGAUGCUGAGACUAAAAUUGUAUCGAAAUAUAAAGGAACCAGAAUGGUUAAGGGAAACUUGAAGAAUUACAGAAUGAGAGAAUUUGAUUUACCAGAAAAGACUUAUACCAUAGUUACAAUCACUAAAUAAGAAUUGGUACAAGUAAAGACCACAGACUAAUGAAGGCAAGAGACAGCAGAAACAGAUCCAUUCUUACAGGACUACUUGAAUUACGACAAAGGUGGCACGUUGGAGGAAUAGAAAAAAGAUGGGCUUUUCAGUGAAUCGUCCUGAGUCAAUAGUCCUGAGUCAAUCAGUUGUCCCUCUGGGAACCAAAUGAAACCUGACGUUUGCUUUUCGUAUUUCCUUUGGGGUAGGCCUGCUGGUUAGUGUGGUUUAUAUUUAUCAUUCAACGAUUAUCGUUAAAUACCAUUUUCCUAUUUUAUUUUUCAUGAACCGUAUAACUAUCUCAAAUUAUCUCAUUUAUUUGAUUGCUUUUAAAUUAUUUUUCCUGUUCCCACUACAAUAUAAAGUCCCUGAGAACAAGAAUUUAUCUAUGCUGCUAAACAUUGUAGCUAAAAUAUCUAAAAUAUUUCAAGGUAUAAUUAUAAGCUUUUGAAUAAAUAAAUGAAUAUACAAAUCUGCCAGGAAAAUGAGGAGUGAAAAUAACAUAAUCCUUUGAUCUAGCGCAGGAAGGAUGAGGACAGUUUAUUUGAGAGCCUGGGAUGGGGUAAUGGUUUGGAACAUUCUAGAUAAAAGGCAUAGCAAAUGCUGAAACAUAAUAAAUGUGUAGGGGAACAUCACAGGGUGACUUUCUGAGUGGGCUAUUUUUUUAUGUAGUAAAUGGAAAUGUCUGUUUAAAAUAAAGG